This is a long non-coding RNA of Canis lupus familiaris (dog), 4009 nucleotides long. RefSeq lists it as uncharacterized. The transcript is spliced from 6 exons. Lineage: Eukaryota; Metazoa; Chordata; Mammalia; Carnivora; Canidae. The record is from RefSeq and is a predicted model, not a curated record.
GGGGGGAGGUGGUAACGACAGGAGGGGAGUGUGGGUUCUGUGUGGUUCUGGGUCAGUGCUUCCCUAGAUGUCAGCUGCUGGCUGUUCCUGGAUGAGGAGAUUGGAAAAUGAACGUGUUCACACUGCAAGAUUUGGGCAGAUACUCAGAAUUGGGGCUCACAGGGCACUGGGCCUGUAGAGCUGGGCUAACAGACCGGGCCAAAAGCUAACCUGAGGGCUGUGCUGGUGACCGGUGAAGACGGAAGAUGCCAACAAUAAUGUUGGCCUUAGCGGGAGGCGAAAUACUAGGACUUGGAUCUGGAACAGUGGCAAGGAUCAGAUUGCAGAGGUCGUACAGACCGUGUUGAAGACCUAUUGCUCCCGUGAUGGGGAGACGUUGAACCUCUUCAUCUCUACGUGGUUAUUACCAAUGGGACUAAACUACAUUCAGAGCAGAGGCUGCUGACUUGUUGUGAAAACUAUAGUGUAAACAGAAACAUGGAACAUGCUGCUGAAGACCGAGGUCAAGGCCAAAACCCCGGAGUCCCUGACAUGAAUACAGCUCCAUGCAAACUCCUCGGAAGAAGCUAUUCAUAUUUUGGGAACUGAACAAGCCUUGAACAAGAUGGAUGUAGUUCUGGUCUUUAUGGAGUAUACUGCCCUUGAGAGAGAGACCUCAAAUGAUAACAGAUGAGAUCUAAAGAGGUUUUGAAUGACAGUGGCUAAUUUACACAGAGCCUUGGAGUAAAGAACAGAUUAAGGACAUGUGACCUUCCCACCCAAGUCUUUGAUUCCAGCUGGCCUCAAGAUAUCUGCUAUUAAUUUGAGACUGAUUGCCCUGGAAACUUGGAAGCAAAAACCUAAACCAGCCUUGAGAAUUUUAUCUAGUUUCAAUAUGUCAUCCCACUGCCUACUGGCUUUCAUAACUUUGAUGAGGAGUCAGCUGUUAAUCUCAUUGAGCCUCCUUGACAUGUGAUGAGCUGCUUUUGCUAUAUUCGAGGUUCUCUGUCUUUGACACUGACACUCAGAGCUGAAAAACAUGUGAAGACACAGGGAGAAGACAGCCAUCUGCAAGCCAAGUGGAAAGGUUAAGAGGAAACAAGCCCUGCUGAUACCUUAAUCUUGGACUUCUAUCCUUCAGAAUUGUAAGAAAAUAAAUGCCCAUUUAAGCCCCCCAAUCUGUAUUAUUUGUUAUGAAAGCCCAAGCAAACUAACAAACUAAUAUAAACUCUGGCCUAGGCUUCAUGCAAUUUAAUUCUUUCUAAGUCAUGAUUUUCCUCCUCUGUUAGAUAAUCAGUGAUGAAAACUAAUGUGUAUGUUACUGUUAAAGAGUGGCAAAGAGAAUAAGGCCUUUGUUUUUCUUUAACUGAUCUGCCUAUUUUCAGGAAGUACCUGCUUUUAUACCUAGUUAAAGCAGAUGCAGACUUUCUUUGUGAAAUACAAUUCUUUUCUCCUCUCUUUGAAAAAAUAAAUAUCUUCUGAAGAUAUAUUUUUAUUUGGUUGAAUAAUGUUUAACCUUGUUUUGCAAAUAAUCACUUGCCUGGAAUAUUGCUGAUGGUCAUGAAAGUAGCAGAGAACACUUGAUUUAUUUUACUACCCUGGUUGGAAAAACAUAUUUGGUUAGUUUGCACAUUUUGUUGAAUUGAUUUGAAGCAAUUAUGCUUUGGUUUAUAGUUUUUUUCUGAGAAGAUAUAUUGGGCAAAGAAAGUGGGAUGAGAAGUUAAAUCCCACUUAGUUACCAAGUGGCCAUGUUGUCUUGAGUUAGCUAACUGGAUUUUCUGAGUCUACUAACUACUUUGUAAUAUGACAUCAAUCUCAUGGUUGCCUGACCUGGUCAUUCGUUCAUAAUUCAAGAAAUAAACAAGUAGGCACUGAGGACUGUAUUAGAUGUUGGUGACUCAGUGGAGAACAAAACUAGCCACAGUCUAUUUUUGGAGCUUACAUUUUAGUGGGAAAAUUAACAUUUGUCAGAGAAAUACACAAAUAAAUAUAAAGUUGCAAUUUUGCUAACUCCUGUGAGGCGAGAGGCAUGGUACUUUGAAAGCUUAUCAUGGGACUGGAGAGGGGGCAGGAGAGGAGUGUAUUUGAUCUAAUCAGAGUGUUUGAAGGUCUCCCCAAGGAAUUGAUAAUUGCCCUGAUAUCUGACAGAUGGAUAAGAUGCUAACUAGGUCACUGGAAGGAUAAAAAAAGGCAGUGGAUAUGGAUAUGAUAUGUGGUACUGUUUUCUUAUUAUCAUUAUUAUUAUUUAAUAAAUGGAUGCCUACUCAACUUUUUUUUUAACCUAGUCAGUGAAGUUACACUGUGUCUUAUGACAACUCUUUGUCUUCAAUAAAUCUUUCCAAUCUUGAAGUUGAUAUACCCACAAAAAUUCAUAUUGUCAAAGUAAUUGCCACCUGCCACCUUUAUGAGAAAAAAUAGCAAAAAUACAACAACACAAAACAAAACAAUUCAGUGUAAAUCAUGGCCCUUUUACAUUUUUCUUAAUCUUGCUACAAGUAACCAUUCUCUAUACUUAUUUGAUAAAAUAAGUUUCAUAUCUGCUGUAUUUCUCAUAUUAAACCUGAAUUACGGAAUUCUUUCUGUACCUAAUCUCAUGUAUUGGAAAGAGAGUCAAUUCUCUUCAGCUUAAUCCUACUCAAUUGAAAGCCUUUGUAAUAACAUACAUUAUUUUUGAAGACUUAUGACCAGUAAACUGCAUACUUCAAAAAUGGACCAUCUAAGCCCAAUGGGCACCAUUUAACAACAAACUGUCUGAUUCCCUAAUACCAGGCAAUUAUAUAAGGACUAUCCAAACAUAAUAAACUACCUUUUCCCCUCAAGGGAGGACUUAAAUGGAUAUUCACUUAUUUCUGCUCCUUUCAUAUAACAUUGUUACUUUCCCAUCUGAAUUGAGACCAAGUCGGCGAGAUGGGUUAAGCUCUUCUAACUGAGAACAAACUGAACCCAGAUGUGAACUGAGGAAGGUGGGCCAAUUUUGCUUUCAGUCUUGGCAGAACCAAAGGGCUAAUUUUUUCAAAGCUUUGCAGUACCUGGCAACUCUGGGUCAAUGCUAUGAAGGUUAAGCUCACGAAUGUUCACUUAGCAAUUCUCUGAUAAUAACUUUGCCAUCAAUGGACAGAAAAACUUAAUUUGUUUUUUCUUACUUUGGUGAUAUAUUUCUGGAAUGUGAUUUUACUGUAUAUAUACUAAAUAACUAGCUCUUUAGAUCAUUCUAAGCUGGCUUAACUGAGAACUUUUUAAAAUUGAAAAGAAAUUGAGACUUUUCAUUGGUAAGCAAUUCUGAAGCAGAGAUAACUUAAUGGAUCUUUUUAUUGGCCUAAUUUUGAAAGGUUUGCAUAAAAAUGCCCCUGUACAGAAACAAAAAUGGAAGCCAAUGUUUGACAUGGUAACGGAACUGGGAUGAGGUGGAAUACUUGCCUCAGAUCUAGUGGCUUAAAUUGAGUAAUUACUGGGGUCUGACUAGUGGACUCAGAAUGCUGGAAUGUUUGGGAAAGAUGGAGACAUAGGUGAAAGUCUACUUUCAUUUAGGAGAGAGAGACUUUAAGAUCAAUAAACAGCACUUAGUUGAAACCGCUAAUGAGUUACACAACGUAUCUCAGAAAUCACAAGUUUAUUUUGCUUUUGUGAGAACUUAGAAUAACUUGUGGCUGAGGCUGUCAACACACUAGACCACAGUCUUGUGGCAGCCUCUGGUUUUUCUAGUGCCUGAGAAGUGUAAAGUUCCAAGACAAGAGCCGGAGCCCUUUCAUCUGAAGCAUGCAGCUCAUCAGCUCCAGGAUGGAAAGCAACUCGAGACGUACCAUCUCAAAGCACCAAGGAUGUAAGAUUAUGAAAGCCAAGCUCUUGAUAUUCCUUCACAUUUCCAGCACUCCCACAUUUAAAAAAAAUAUAUACUCUCUUCCAAAGCUGACAUUUUGAAAAUGUGGAACACAGACUUUAACCCUGAGCUCUUCUUCUUAUUUCUUUCCCCCCCUUUUUGUGAAUUAAUGAAUAUACUUGAAAAUAAUUUGUGUUGUGUGUUGUGUCUCCU